Molecule: ribosomal RNA, 460 nt
Filed under: uncultured bacterium
Lineage: Bacteria
Description: partial 16S ribosomal RNA
Rfam family: Bacterial small subunit ribosomal RNA
Source: RNAcentral
CCUACGGGCGGUAGCAGUGAGGAAUAUUGGUCAAUGGGCGGGAGCCUGAACCAGCCAAGUCGCGUGAGGGAAGACGGUCCUAUGGAUUGUAAACCUCUUUAGGCGGGGAGCAAUGCCGGGCACGCGUGCCCGGAGGGAGAGUACCCGCAGAAUAAGCAUCGGCUAACUCCGUGCCAGCAGCCGCGGUAAUACGGAGGAUGCGAGCGUUAUCCGGAUUUAGUGGGUUUCAAGGGUGCGUAGGCGGAUUUUUAAGUCAGCGGUAAAAUGUCCGGGCUCAACCCGGGCCGGCCGUUGAAACUGGGGAUCUUGAGUGGGCGAGAAGUAUGCGGAAUGCGUGGUGUAGCGGUGAAAUGCAUAGAUAUCACGCAGAACUCCGAUUGCGAAGGCAGCAUACCGGCGCCCGACUGACGCUGAGGCACGAAAGCGUGGGGAUCGAACAGGAUUAGAUACCCGUGUAGUC